Arabidopsis thaliana (thale cress) is the source of this 493-nucleotide long non-coding RNA. RefSeq annotates it as other RNA. The transcript has a single exon. The record is from RefSeq. Lineage: Eukaryota; Viridiplantae; Streptophyta; Magnoliopsida; Brassicales; Brassicaceae.
GCUCUGUUUUAUCUCUUAUCACAAAAAAUAACGUGUCUUGUUUAGCAUGAAGAUCAAUGAUUCAAGAAUCAGCACCCGCCGCAUUUUACAUUGCUUGACUCAAUCCAAGAACCACAGCAAAAAUGACUUUAGGAUUCGCAGCAGUCAAUAGAACAUUAUCUUUUUCAGAAAACUGGAAACAAGUGGGAGAGCCGGAAAAAGUAUGAUCAAUAUAUAGAAGAAUCUUUCUCCGCCAAGUAACUUAACCAGCCAAAAUUAGAACUCAGUAGGAGAUUUCAAUCUUAUGAGUCGCUUAAUCCUCUGUCUUUGUCAUUUGUGAACAUGUUUUCCGGGAUAAAGAGAACACAUCAGAGCACAAACACUCAGAAUCUCGCUCUCAACGUUAAGUGUUCGACAUCCUAAUCAGAGAUUCAAAUCGAGAAGAAAGCGUUGAAAUCGGAAACCUGCUAAAGUCUUGAAACGAAUCAACCAAACGAAACGAAUCAACCUAUAA